CUUGCGCGCCGGCGGCUGUGCAGCUGGCUGCGGUGGGGUGCGGCGACCGACGGCUGCGCGCGCGCGGAGCAGGCAGCGGCCGGCGGAGGCGGAGCCGCGGAGGGCUGGUUGGCUGGGCUCGACCGGAGGACGGAGGUGCGGGCGUGCGGCCACGUGGAGCAGGACGCCGCCGCGCUGCGUCGGCGAGGCGUCGGAGGCUGGAGCAGUGCCUCCAGCCGCCGGCGGGGCACAGCGCCGCCGCCGAGCAGUCAAGGCAGAGGGCCGAGGCAGUGGGGCCGCCGGGCGCGGCCGCCUAGGGGACGGCCGGAGCAGGGCGUGCGGCUGCAGGCUGCAGGCAGAACUAGUCUUCCAAUGAAGAAAAAAGCAAAUGAAUGGUUAAUACAUCCUUUCUGUGGAUAGAAACCUUGGUUGAUCCAUCUUCUUACUACCUCAAGAUAUACCUGGCGAUCAAAAUUGAUCCCAAGGCACUGGUGCAGUUUAUCUUCCAAAAAUGUUUGGGGCUCUGGCUCUACUAAGACUCCAUGGCACAUGUUAAGUGCUCUGGAUUGCUAGCUACUAUCCACUUGCCAAUUUUGUUUAUUGGCUCACACAUGGACAGCUUCAGUUAUGCACAACCGUUUUUUACAUGGCUGUCUCCACAGUUUGUCAGAAGUAGCAGCAUCGGCAAUUCGUGUACCUAUUGCGAGCUAUGGGACAUCUGCACGACAAAGCAGAUCGAGGUUCCAACAUGACAGCGACAUCAACAGUGCACUAAAAGUUUUGGAUCUUGUACCAAGAAAGUCUGAAUAUGACAAAGUGGAAGGUCCACGCCAUCACCGACUAAUCCAUGACUGCAUGCGUGACAUCUUGGGGGUUCAAUCAAAUCAUACUCUACUCAAGGGAAACAGUAUAUCUUUUAACUCAUGCAGCAAUCCUGCACAAGUGAAAGUUGAUAGGUUUGUUUCAAAGAAUGUCUCAGCUUGCACUUCCAGGAUUAGAAUCUCAAAGGAUGACAUGUUUAUGCUGAUAGUGGAGCUACACAGGAAAGGGGAAGCCAGUGUAGAUCAAUCUAUUUUGGCAGCUGCUGUGAGUUCUUGCGCUGAUGGGAAAAAGUUUACCCAAGGUACACAGCUUCAUGCUCUAUUGGUUAAAGCUGGAUGUGAUUCAACUGUUUUUAUUGGUAGUUCACUCAUCACCUUAUAUUCAAGGUGUGGCCAGUUGGGAAGUUCGUACUUGGUUUUCCAGAGCAUGCCAACCAGAAACAUUGUGUUAUGGACAGCAAUGAUUUCUGGUUUUGCGCUACAUAAUCGUAUUGAGCCAUGUCUCCAUUUGUUUGCGUCAUUGAGGCUUUCCAGGUGCAAGCCAAAUGACAUCACAUUUGCCACUCUUUUCAGUGUGUGCACUAAACACGCACUUCUAGCACUUGGUAAAAGUCUUCAUGCUUUACAAAUGAGAAUGGGUUUCCAUUCAUAUGUGCAUGUUUCCAAUGCCCUGCUAUCUAUGUAUGCAAAGUGUGGGUGCAUCGAUGAAGCCCAGUCCAUAUUUGGGUGCAUUGCCUGGAAAGACCUGGUUUCCUGGAAUGCCAUGAUUUUUGGAUGUUCCCAGUAUGGCCUUGCUAAGCAUUGCCUGGACUUGCUGAAAGAAAUGGACAGGCAACACAUAGACCCAGACACGCUCUCCUUCCUUGGUGUCCUCUCAUCAUGCCGGCAUGCAUGCCUUGUGGAGGAAGGCCGAGAGUGCUUCAAGAAAAUGAUUGAGCAUGGAAUAAAUCCAGGGCUAGAUCACUACUCAUGUAUGGUCGACCUACUUGGGCGUGCCGGAUUGCUUCUAGAGGCGUGGGAUUUGAUCCAAACAAUGUCUGUCCCUCCAAAUGCCGUCAUAUGGGGCUCUCUGUUGGCUUCCUGUAGGGUGCAUGGGAACAUUUCGAUUGGCAUCCAAGCUGCAGAGCACCGUCUUAAACUGGAGCCAGGUUGUGCUGCAACUCAUAUACAGCUAGCAAAUCUGUAUGCUACAAUUGGUUGCUGGAGUGAUGUGGCCAGAGUGAGGAUGGCGAUGAAGGAGAGAGGCCUAAAGACGAACAUUGGGUGCAGUUGGAUAGAAGUUGGCAAUAAGGUUUAUUCCUUCACGGCAGAGAAUAGAUCAAAGAGCCACCAACUAAACAGUGUUCUGGUUAUUCUUGACUGUUUGCAAGCUCACAUGGAAUGCAAGUAUGAUAUACUUGCAGAAGGCCUGGAGUAGUUAGCUAUAUGGCUUUGAACAUGUCAAGACAACUAUAGAAACUGGAGUAUAUGAAGAGCAAUCCUACAGGAAACAGUUACUAGCCAAAGAUAUAGAAGAUCCAUUAGAAUGUCCAUUGAUAUGUUUGAAAAUAUGGAUGAGUUGCUAGUUUUCACAAUUCACGACCAAGAGGAUAUGCCGGCACUGUAUUUUCCAAGUCAGUUCCAGCUUUCUUCCUUUCAAUAUGUUCUUGUAGCUUGUUUGUUCCUCAUUAGUCCAAGCAGCCUGGAGUAUACUUAUUGUUGCAUUCUGCCAUCCCCAGUAAGCUGCAAUUGAUCUCCCCAAUCAUGUUAUAUUUGCCUAUCUGUUGGUUUAUCUCUAUAGAACAGCAGCCUGUUGUGGCGAAAGCGAUGGCAGGCCUACCAGUUGUGGGCAUCAGCAAAGGAGGUGCCGGAUCAUCAAGAAAACAACUGAAGGUUAGACGGCAUAAAACUUGUGAUGGCACAUCUCAAAUCUCUGCAGAUACGAUCUAUUACCUGUGAUAGAACGGUAGUUCUUGACAAAGUUAUUGAUAAAACAAGACAUCAUCAUGACAACUGUUCAGUGCUUAAAUGUCAGCCGAUGUGCCAACGGAAAUGAUAUUUGCAGGGAAA
Molecule: RNA transcript, 2849 nt
Organism: Oryza brachyantha (malo sina)
Lineage: Eukaryota; Viridiplantae; Streptophyta; Magnoliopsida; Poales; Poaceae
Gene name: pentatricopeptide repeat-containing protein At2g37320-like
Exons: 4
Source: RefSeq, a predicted model, not a curated record